Molecule: long non-coding RNA, 3101 nt
Organism: Setaria italica (foxtail millet)
Lineage: Eukaryota; Viridiplantae; Streptophyta; Magnoliopsida; Poales; Poaceae
Exons: 5
Source: RefSeq, a predicted model, not a curated record
GACGGGUCCGCGCCGUCGGCCGCGGCGGCGGCGCUGUGCCCGCCGCACCUCCUCACGGUGGCGCCCCCGGCAUCCUCCUGGUGGAGCAGAUUGUGCGCUCCAAGAUCUACCCGAGCAUCUACUGGAAGGAGCAGUGCUUCGGCCUCACCGCCGAGAUGCUGGUCGACUAGACCAUGAAGCUCCACAAGGCUAAGCACGAGAAGAGCCUUAGAAGAGGAGCCCUCAACUAAUCGGCUGCCCUCGCUGUCCCCGGCCAGAUCGACGGGCUUCCUCAUUCAUGAAUUCAUGUUCGGUACUGUGCGUUGCAGAAGCUUGGCGUUGACUAGGAGAUCUUUGUGGGCGUCCUUAAGAAAGGUCUGUACUAGGGGAAGCCGGAUGCUACCAUCUCCUUCACUGACAACGAUUUCCUUGUAAUCACCAGCAGCAUGACGAACCCGCAGAUUGCAUUUAUCCGAGGAGCUAUUAAGAUCAAGGGGAGCAUAAGCGCCGCGCAGAAGUUCACCCCUGACAUAUUCCCCUAGCCAGCGAAGCUGUAGGAGGUCAUAUUGUAUUAUUUGGUCACGGUUGGAUAAUAAGGUUUGCAGGCUUCAACCGCUGUGUACCUGAUAGGAUGAGUGCACACGACGACGAAGGGGCCGAAGUCGGCUGCAGUGUGUGAAGCCAUGGAGCUCUGCAGCUUGGGUCCAAGGAGGGCGAUCUUCUCUGCGUGGAUCCAUGGAGGUCGGACUCCUCUGCCUGGAUCCGCGUCAGAGGUGCCCAGCGAGCGCUGCCUGCCCCGGCCUCCACGGAACAGUAGGGAAAUGAUGUGGGCUCCAUGAUUCUGCUCGUUGAGGUAGAGAUUAGGCCCGAAGCUUAGGUACACUAUUCAUCCUGCUUCUUAAUCUGGCCAUCAUAUGUAAUUUUGACAUGAUUACAAAUGUAGCAUAUAUAUUUGUUUGCAGCAUUGAUCAACAGCUUAAUGUUUGUAUGUUAGAUUUAAGCCAAUGGCUGCUUCAGGAUGCACUAAUUUAUUGGGUAAUUUGUUCAGUUCAAGGCAUUCUAAUUAUUAAUUAGUUCUGGUACAGUUCAUAUUCUUGCCCCUCUUUUUUCCCACCAUUUCUUUUAUUUUUCAUUGAAACAUGAACUGUACGGUGGUGUGCGACUAUCAUGCAAGUUGGAAACCUUUUGCCAUGGUUGCAACAUGUCCAUAUUGCUUAAAAGAAUUUUAGAGCCUUUAUUUCAGUUCAAUAGGACUGUAUAUGCACAAUUCCAAUUUAUCAAUUAUACACAGCUUUUGAAUUAUUAAUCACAAUAAUUAUGUCCAAAAGCCAGUUAUAUUACAAUAAUAAUGCUGAUAAUUUGGUUACAUAUAUGAGCUCACAUAGGUAUCAUUUGGUUACAGCAGGGAGGAUGUGGGGAAAUUCUUUUCAUUUAUCUGACUUAGGGUAUCCUCCACCAUGAUCAUGUAAAAUUGUAGCAAAUCUCACAUCCUGAUCAGGUAAAAACGCUUAACAUGUUGUCAGGUGGAUUAGUGAUGUGUUGGGACAAAAUUGCUUAACAUGUUGUCAGGCUCAAGUAAAUUGAAACAAAAAAAAGAAAGUUAACCUCCAAUUGUCCUGGCUGUUUGGACUUCAAAGUGUAUGUGGUAAAAAUGUACUCAGUUUGCUAACUACUUUGAAUUUAUUUGUAUAUAAGUUUUGAAAGGAGAAGAAUAAAAUAGUCAGCCAUGUAUCAAUAUCUAUGUACGUAUUGUUUCCUUUAGGCUUUUACUUUACGGAUAAGUGUAGCAGGUUGCUUCCCGGUUAGUGGACAUGUUUUUCUUAACAACUGAUUGUGAGAUGUACGAGUGUCUUGAGAUUCAUUCUGUUAGCGUUCGCUGCAGAAUGUGGGAGAACAUUUUGAGACUUGGAAUGCAGGAAUUCUAGGUUCCGUGACACUGGAUGGCCUGAAUGGGGCAGAAGAGAAUUCACAUGGCAGAAAUGGACCUAUCAGGUUACUUAGGAUGUAUUAAGCUGAAUUUAUUUUGUAUUGAUGAGAAUCUUUUUUUCUUUGUAGUGAUAUUCGAGAUUGACAAGACACUCUAAAAAUUGCUGUUGGAGAUGGUCAUCAUGGGCCAAGAUAAUGCUUUGUCGACCACAUAUGGGAGGCAUGGGUGAAGCCAUGAAGUGGAAAUUGGGAGAUAGCAACUUCGACAAAAAAAUGUUAUCAUGUCUGCUUAUCCAAAUAUUUUUUAUAAUUCUUCCUUUUUUCAGAAUCUACAAUUUUUAGUAUGCACAUAUCUUCUUUUGCAGCUGCGGUAUUCCUUCUUAGAGUACCAUGGAUCAUCAUGCAAAAUGGUUAUUCAGUUUUCAGAAGAAGCAACAGUGAUCUAUCUACAUGGGGAAAUGGAUCAUUGUCCAACUAUGUCAUUUUUUCUGCUCACUAAGAAAUGUAUUUGCAUCAGAAAAAGCAACAUUCUAAUGAAACUCUAGGAAUCACUAAGAAAUCAUUAGCUAAUUUCUCUCUUAUUGGUUCUUACAUUCUUUUACCCUCCAUGUAAAUAUGACUAGCCAUUUUUCUACCGAACAACCAUGCAUGAUACACAUGUUUACUUGAUCUUGUGUACUGGUUUUAGAAAUGAAACCGUGGUUACAUAUUCUCCAUACAUCUUUUUGCAGCUUGUUAAGAAGCAAUGUGUCUAGGCAGGCAGGCCCAUGAUGAUGGAGUGCUCAACAACAGGUCUUUCAUGAGUCAUACACAUGUAUAGGCUUCUUUGCCGACCAAUGACCGGUGCUGCCUACCUGACAUUCAACUUGGCUAUCCCCAUCCCAUAUACUUCAUAUUUCCUCUUCGAUUUGGGCAGGUAGCUUGAACUUUUAUUAGCUCAUUAUCUUUGCUUUUACUUACACUUGUUUCUUUGCAGUAUAAAAAAUGAAUAUGCUAAUUUUUGCAAUGUUUUAGUUGAGUUGCAGUCCUUGACAUAUUCCCUGCCCUCUUUCUGUUUGAUGGGACAUUUUUACAUUAUUACUAGACUUUUAAGGAUUGCAAAUAAAAUAUGAUUGAAGUCUGUUGUCCUGAUCCAUAUGAUUAUUUGCAGAACAUGUGAUUAAUGAAAUGUUUGGACAAGAGCAAAUGACCAUUAA